CUAACACAUGCAAGUCGAACGGUAACAGGAAGAAGCUUGCUUCUUUGCUGACGAGUGGCGGACGGGUGAGUAAUGUCUGGGAAACUGCCUGAUGGAGGGGGAUAACUACUGGAAACGGUAGCUAAUACCGCAUAACGUCGCAAGACCAAAGAGGGGGACCUUCGGGCCUCUUGCCAUCGGAUGUGCCCAGAUGGGAUUAGCUAGUAGGUGGGGUAACGGCUCACCUAGGCGACGAUCCCUAGCUGGUCUGAGAGGAUGACCAGCCACACUGGAACUGAGACACGGUCCAGACUCCUACGGGAGGCAGCAGUGGGGAAUAUUGCACAAUGGGCGCAAGCCUGAUGCAGCCAUGCCGCGUGUAUGAAGAAGGCCUUCGGGUUGUAAAGUACUUUCAGCGGGGAGGAAGGGAGUAAAGUUAAUACCUUUGCUCAUUGACGUUACCCGCAGAAGAAGCACCGGCUAACUCCGUGCCAGCAGCCGCGGUAAUACGGAGGGUGCAAGCGUUAAUCGGAAUUACUGGGCGUAAAGCGCACGCAGGCGGUUUGUUAAGUCAGAUGUGAAAUCCCCGGGCUCAACCUGGGAACUGCAUCUGAUAC
RNAcentral lists this ribosomal RNA (596 nucleotides) under uncultured Pseudomonadota bacterium. Its description in RNAcentral is "bacterial SSU rRNA". It matches the Rfam family "Bacterial small subunit ribosomal RNA", at positions 48 to 633 of the family's 1533-position model. The record is from RNAcentral. Lineage: Bacteria; Pseudomonadati; Pseudomonadota.